Molecule: ribosomal RNA, 497 nt
Filed under: uncultured bacterium
Lineage: Bacteria
Description: partial 16S ribosomal RNA
Rfam family: Bacterial small subunit ribosomal RNA
Source: RNAcentral
GAUGAACGCUGGCGGCGUGCCUAAUACAUGCAAGUCGAGCGAACAGACGAGGAGCUUGCUCCUCUGACGUUAGCGGCGGACGGGUGAGUAACACGUGGAUAACCUACCUAUAAGACUGGGAUAACUUCGGGAAACCGGAGCUAAUACCGGAUAAUAUAUUGAACCGCAUGGUUCAAUAGUGAAAGACGGUUUUGCUGUCACUUAUAGAUGGAUCCGCGCCGCAUUAGCUAGUUGGUAAGGUAGCGGCUUACCAAGGCAACGAUGCGUAGCCGACCUGAGAGGGUGAUCGGCCACACUGGAACUGAGACACGGUCCAGACUCCUACGGGAGGCAGCAGUAGGGAAUCUUCCGCAAUGGGCGAAAGCCUGACGGAGCAACGCCGCGUGAGUGAUGAAGGUCUUCGGAUCGUAAAACUCUGUUAUUAGGGAAGAACAAAUGUGUAAGUAACUAUGCACGUCUUGACGGUGCCUAAUCAGAAAGCCACGGCUAACUACGUG